Non-coding RNA from Myotis lucifugus (little brown bat), 74 nucleotides. The record is from Rfam. Lineage: Eukaryota; Metazoa; Chordata; Mammalia; Chiroptera; Vespertilionidae.
CACUCAGGGGGGCGGUCCCUCAGCCCAGCUUGCAAGAGGGUGCAGACCAGGCCAAGGGACCCCACCAGUGCACG